Molecule: ribosomal RNA, 1362 nt
Filed under: uncultured bacterium
Lineage: Bacteria
Description: bacterial SSU rRNA
Rfam family: Bacterial small subunit ribosomal RNA
Source: RNAcentral
GAUGAACGCUGGCGGCGUGCUUAACACAUGCAAGUCGAACGAAGCACUUUAACCUGAUUCUUCGGAUGAAGGUUUUUGUGACUGAGUGGCGGACGGGUGAGUAACGCGUGGGUAACCUGCCUCAUAGAGGGGGAUAACAGUUAGAAAUGACUGCUAAUACCGCAUAAGACCACGGAGCCGCAUGGCUCAGUGGGAAAAACUCCGGUGGUAUGAGAUGGACCCGCGUCUGAUUAGGUAGUUGGUGGGGUAACGGCCUACCAAGCCAACGAUCAGUAGCCGACCUGAGAGGGUGACCGGCCACAUUGGGACUGAGACACGGCCCAAACUCCUACGGGAGGCAGCAGUGGGGAAUAUUGCACAAUGGGGGAAACCCUGAUGCAGCGACGCCGCGUGAGCGAAGAAGUAUUUCGGUAUGUAAAGCUCUAUCAGCAGGGAAGAAAAUGACGGUACCUUACUAAGAAGCACCGGCUAAAUACGUGCCAGCAGCCGCGGUAAUACGUAUGGUGCAAGCGUUAUCCGGAUUUACUGGGUGUAAAGGGAGCGUAGACGGCUGUGUAAGUCUGAAGUGAAAGCCCGGGGCUCAACCCCGGGACUGCUUUUGGAAACUAUGCAGCUAGAGUGUCGGAGAGGUAAGUGGAAUUCCCAGUGUAGCGGUGAAAUGCGUAGAUAUUGGGAGGAACACCAGUGGCGAAGGCGGCUUACUGGACGAUGACUGACGUUGAGGCUCGAAAGCGUGGGGAGCAAACAGGAAUUAGAUACCCUGGUAGUCCACGCCGUAAACGAAUGAAUAAAUAGGUGUCGGGGAGCAAAGCUAUUCGGUGCCGCAGCAAACGCAAUAAGUAGUCCACCUGGGGAGUACGUUCGCAAGAAUGAAACUCAAAGGAAUUGACGGGGACCCGCACAAGCGGUGGAGCAUGUGGUUUAAUUCGAAGCAACGCGAAGAACCUUACCUGCUCUUGACAUCCCGGUGACCGGCAUGUAAUGAUGCCUUUUCUUUGGAACACCGGUGACAGGUGGUGCAUGGUUGUCGUCAGCUCGUGUCGUGAGAUGUUGGGUUAAGUCCCGCAACGAGCGCAACCCUUAUCUUCAGUAGCCAGCAAUUCGGAUGGGCACUCUGGAGAGACUGCCAGGGAUAACCUGGAGGAAGGUGGGGAGGACGUCAAAUCAUCAUGCCCCCUAGGGGCAGGGCUACACACGUGCUACAAUGGCGUAAGCAAAGGGAAGCGAGCCUGCGAGGGUAAGCAAAUCUCAAAAAUAACGUCUCAGUUCGGAUUGUAGUCUGCAACUCGGCUACAUGAAGCUGGAAUCGCUAGUAAUCGCGAAUCAGCAUGUCGCGGUGAAUACGUUCCCGGGUCUUGCACU